This 83-nucleotide transfer RNA is filed under the name Acetobacteraceae bacterium. RNAcentral's name for it is "tRNA-Lys". The record is from RNAcentral. Lineage: Bacteria; Pseudomonadati; Pseudomonadota; Alphaproteobacteria; Acetobacterales; Acetobacteraceae.
GCUCGCCUGACGGAAUGGUAGACGUCGCGGACUUUUAAUCCGCGGCCCUAUGGCGUGGGGUUCGACUUCCCCGGCGGGCACCA